AGCGAACGCUGGCGGCAGGCUUAAUACAUGCAAGUCGAGCGCCCGUAGCAAUACGGGAGCGGCAGACGGGUGAGUAACACGUGGGUGACCUGCCCUCAGCUCUGGGAUAAGCCCGGGAAACUGGGUCUAAUACUGGAUAUGACUCCAUGACGCAUGUUGUGGGGUGGAAAGCCUUGUGCGGCUGAGGAUGGGCCCGCGGCCUAUCAGCUUGNGGUGGGGUGAUGGCCUACCAAGGCGACGACGGGUAGCCGGCCUGAGAGGGCGACCGGCCACACUGGGACUGAGACACGG
RNAcentral lists this ribosomal RNA (291 nucleotides) under uncultured bacterium. RNAcentral describes it as "partial 16S ribosomal RNA". It matches the Rfam family "Bacterial small subunit ribosomal RNA", at positions 28 to 329 of the family's 1533-position model. The record is from RNAcentral.